GUCGAACGAAGCACAGAGAGCAGAUUACUUCGGUUUGAAGCUUUCUGUGACUGAGUGGCGGACGGGUGAGUAACGCGUGGAUAACCUGCCUCACACAGGGGGAUAACAGUUAGAAAUGACUGCUAAUACCGCAUAAGCGCACAGUCUCGCAUGGGACAGUGUGAAAAACUGAGGUGGUGUGAGAUGGAUCCGCGUCUGAUUAGGCAGUUGGCGGGGUAACGGCCCACCAAACCAACGAUCAGUAGCCGGCCUGAGAGGGUGAACGGCCACAUUGGGACUGAGACACGGCCCAAACUCCUACGGGAGGCAGCAGUGGGGAAUAUUGCACAAUGGGGGAAACCCUGAUGCAGCGACGCCGCGUGAAGGAAGAAGUAUUUCGGUAUGUAAACUUCUAUCAGCAGGGAAGAAAAUGACGGUACCUGACUAAGAAGCCCCGGCUAACUACGUGCCAGCAGCCGCGGUAAUACGUAGGGGGCAAGCGUUAUCCGGAUUUACUGGGUGUAAAGGGAGCGUAGGCGGCGAUGCAAGUCAGAAGUGAAAGCCCGGGGCUCAACUCCGGGACUGCUUUUGAAACUGUAUGGCUAGAUUGCAGGAGAGGCAAGUGGAAUUCCUAGUGUAGCGGUGAAAUGCGUAGAUAUUAGGAGGAACACCAGUGGCGAAGGCGGCUUGCUGGACUGUAAAUGACGC
Molecule: ribosomal RNA, 687 nt
Filed under: uncultured bacterium
Lineage: Bacteria
Description: bacterial SSU rRNA
Rfam family: Bacterial small subunit ribosomal RNA
Source: RNAcentral